AUGGGUCUGCAGGUGACACGUCCCGUUCCCGCGGGGCCGGUUCCGCACGGCUCCGGUGAGAUCCCCCCUCCGCACCGAGCACCGCGGACCCCCGGGACCGCUUCCCCUGCACCCCCCCCACACUCCGCACCGCGGACAUCGGGGACCGUCCCCCAUUCUGCUCUGGGCACCGCGGUACCCCCGGGUCCGGGGCCGCCCCCGCCGCUCUUACCCCGCUCCCGCCUCCUACAUCCUCCGGCGGCUCCCGGGCGGUUCCCCGACGGCCCGGCGCGGCCGCCCCCGGCCCGGCUGCUCCCGGCCCGGCUCGGUUGGGCUCGGCUGGUCCCGGCUCGGCCCGGGCCGGCGCCCCGCGCGUGGGAGCGCGGCGGGCGGCAGCAUGCGAGUGGCGGCGGCCCCGCAGUGCAGCGCGGGCGGGCGCGGAGCGGCGGGAGCGGAGCGGGGCCGCCGCGGCGCCGCCAAGACACGGCGGUGGAUUUUCCCCGGGAGCCAGAGCGGGCGGCGGCGGCGCAAAAUGGCUCCGGUGCGGCUCUGCCGCCGCCUCCCGGCGCCCCGGGACCCCCGGGGGGGGAGAGCGGGGGCAGCCGCACGUGGGGCCGGGGAGAUGCUGGCGGUGCGGGAUCUGCCGGGAUGAGUGGUACCCACCCGUGGGCAUCCCCUGAGGCACCCUGCGGAGCCGGACUGGCACCGAGAAAAGGGGUACCCACCCGUAGGCACCCCCCUGGAUCACCCCAGGGAGCUGAGGGCACUCCAGGACCGUCACCCAACCCUGUUCCCUGCCAGGGAGGGGGCAGAGUGCAGAGACAGUCCCGGGGUACUGAGAUAGUGCUGGCGUGUCGGGAUCAUCCAGAGCAGCCCUGGGGUGCCAGGAUAGCCCUGGGGUGCCAGGACAGCCCCAGACUGCCGGGACAGCCCCAGGGUGUCCAGCCCCAUGGGCUCAGCCUUCCCCCAACAGACCCAAGGCCACCCGCUGCCGCCUGCCCGCUGAGCCGCUCACACCACACCCUGUAA
This 1008-nucleotide long non-coding RNA is filed under the name Catharus ustulatus (Swainson's thrush). Its description in RNAcentral is "lncRNA (ENSCUSG00005005258.1)". Lineage: Eukaryota; Metazoa; Chordata; Aves; Passeriformes; Turdidae. The record is from RNAcentral.